Molecule: long non-coding RNA, 2205 nt
Filed under: Daphnia magna
Lineage: Eukaryota; Metazoa; Arthropoda; Branchiopoda; Diplostraca; Daphniidae
Description: uncharacterized LOC116934601
Source: RNAcentral
AUUAACACCAUGUCAUUUAGGGCGUUAAAAAGAAAGAUAGAAGAAAAGGGAAAAAGUAAUGGCGAAAAACGUGCCGAUUUUAGCUCAGGCGAACUUCCUACAACAAAAGGUUUUGCGGAUAUUCCUCUGGGUUUUCUAGAAGGGCCUAUUAAAUGUCGAGUGACUCAUAAAGUUACUUUCUUAACGCAUUCGAAUACUUGCCUUUAUAUAAUAAAUUUGAUUGACGGAAAUGGUGACGAAAUCCGUCUCAACGUAUGGGGCCCGGAGAAAACUGCAAAAUAAAUUUGAAGUAGGAAAAGUUCACCUAAUAAGAAAAGUUUCAGUUAUUACGAGCACUAACGAUUACUCCAGGAUCUUAAACAAAAGAACGUUAGUGUCAACACAGUCGACUACACACAGCAGCGGCUCCCUACUUAUUGUUUCCUACUUAAGAGGUGCCAGGGUCUCUUACAUGGCUUUGGAUACUUAAAUUCCGCCCAUACUUACACGAGAUUUCCUACUAAAAAAACCUGUUUCAUGUAAGAAUGUUGUAAGUAGUUAAGUAGGCUCAAUAAAGGGUCUAGCCUACUUAAAAUUCAUUCGCAUACUUUUUUUUCUAUAGGGCAGUUAUGUAAUCUUUAGUCAAAAAUUCAGCAAAUGACUUCUAUCAUAUCGAAAUUUGUUGUGGUUAUAAAGAUAUAUCCAUAAAUGGGGUUCAGAAAUGAAAAAAAUAUGUCGCACACCGUGGGAUUCGAACAUCAGACCUUCUGAGUCGUAAUCCGAUUCUUUACCACUGAGCUACACUCGAUGAUAUAUACGUUGCAAACAUAGCAUCAUAUACUAUAAAGGUCUGUUGGGUGAUAGAAAAAUUUUUGGAAAAAUGUUUAAGAAAUGGUAUCAUUUGAUUUUACGUGCUGAAAUUCUGUAAUCAAACACCACCGAUUGAUAAAAUUUUUGAAGUUCAUAGUUAUAAUUUGAAUAAAUUUAUACUAAUAUUAAUUUGAUUAAAUUAAAUAUCGUUUUCUUAGUUGAAAUAGAAAAAGAUAGAAAGAAUAAUGUUCAAUUAUCUACCGAAAAUCAUUACCUUUUCUAACAGUGCAACAUUAUAAACUUCCCGGUAUUCCUGUGAUGGAAUUUGAUGUGUUCAAAAAAAGUUGUUGGAUUUUCAAUUGACAGUUCAUGAGUAGUGUUUGAUCAUCAAAAUUCGUCAGAGUUACAAGAUACUUGCAAUUUUAACGACUUUGAUUUAGUCAACCUGCUUCACUGUGCAAGGUACUUAACUAAAGAACUUAAAUGGUAUAAAAAGUACUUAAAUUUGGGAAAACGAUACUUAAUUUUGGUACAGCUUUUAAAUGUAAGUAUUAAAAAUGGGUAAAGUAUGUUUCGCAAAACUUGGAUAAAGAUACUUAAAUUAAAACAUACUUAUUUCGAAUGUUUCAUACUUAAAAUGCCAUUUACCAUCUUAUUUAUAAGUGGGAUGGUAAGUGUAAGUAGCAUAACCACAUAUAAGUAUUUGCAAUUUACAGUAAGUGACUUGAAAACUCGUUCUAAGUAAGAAAAUUGCAAAUUUAGUAGAUUUCCGACCUACUUAAUCAAUCAGUAGGAAAUUUCCUACUGAAAUACUUACAUUAAAGUAUGUUACCGCUGCUGUGCAGUAAGUUUCUUUAAAAUAACACAUUGUAAAAUACAUUAAAAAUUUGACAACCUGCAGUUGAGUUUAGUGAAUGCUAAAGAAAACGAAGAAUUUCCUGACUUAGCUUACAAUUAUAUGUCUGUUAGCAGCAUUGGGGACAUUGCUGAUCGAGAAAUAAUUGAUGUGAUAGGGAUCUUCUACAAAAAAAAGAAGGUGAUACCACUGCAGUCCUAUACCAAAGAAGAGCAUAGUAUUAAAAUUUUGGACGACAAAGGCAGGAAGAUGGAAGUAGGGUGAUCAACAAUUGAACAAUUUCUGCAGAAUAUGAAAAUAGAAGAAUUGAAGACUAUUCUAGGACUCAAAGGAGUGCGACUAGUUAGGAAGGGAGAAAAACUAGAAUGUGUCACAUUUUCUGACACAAUUAUAGAUAUCGAUCCGGCAUCCAAGCACAAUGAAGAACUAAAAAAAUGGAUGGGUGCUGAAAGUUCAGAAGGAGAAACUGCUGAAGCCACUAAAUAAAUAAUGUUUUCUAUUACAAUUGACUCGGCAACUUUCUCAAAAUCAAAAUGACUAAUAAAUGUGAUUGAAGUGAA